Molecule: unclassified non-coding RNA, 1361 nt
Filed under: Hevea brasiliensis (rubber tree)
Lineage: Eukaryota; Viridiplantae; Streptophyta; Magnoliopsida; Malpighiales; Euphorbiaceae
Source: RNAcentral
GCUCAGCUUGUUGAGUUGAAUAGACCUCCUGUACCUCAGCACUACGUGCAGAUCUUUGAGAUUCUCCUCUUACCUGAGUCAUGGAAAAAGUCCGCAAAUGUUCCAGCUCUUGUCCGAUUGCUCCAAGCAUUCCUCCGGAAGGCACCCCAUGAGCUUAACCAGCAGGGCAGGCUGUCUAAUGUUCUGGGUAUUUUCAAUACACUGAUUUCAUCUCCCAGCACAGAUGACCAAGGUUUUUAUGUGCUCAACACGGUUAUUGAAAACCUUGGGUAUGAUGUAAUAUCACCUUUUAUGGGCCACAUUUGGGUUUCACUUUUUAACCGGCUGCAGCAUGGCAGAACGGUGAAGUUUCUGAAGAAUCUUGUGAUAUUUAUGUCUCUAUUCUUGGUCAAGCAUGGGUUACAGAAUCUUGUGGUUUCAAUGAAUGCGGUUCAGAAGGAUGUAUUUCAGACCAUUGUGGAGCAAUUUUGGGUGCUGAACCUCAAGUUAAUCACAGGAUCUGUUGAACUCAAGCUGACUUCAGUUGCUUCAACAAAACUAAUUUGCGAAUCUUCAACAUUAUUGGAUCCCAAGGUCCGGGGCAAAAUGCUUGACAGCAUUGUUACUCUUCUCUCUAGACCGGAGGAAGAGAGAGUGUUGGAUGAGACAGACGUUCCAGACUUUGGGGAGACUGUGGGUUAUAAUGCUACUUUCGUUCAUCUUUAUAAUGCUGGGAAGAAAGAAGAGGACCCUUUGAAGGAAGUGAAUGAUCCAAAGCAAUAUUUGGUGGCUUCCAUGGCGAAUCUUGCUGCUCUUUCCCCUGGAACAUAUCCGCAGCUUAUUAGGGAAAAUCUUGAGCCAGCAAAUCAAACAGCUCUUCUUCAGCUCUGCAGCUCCUACAAUCUCUCAAUACUUUGAGAAGAAUCCAUGUGGUGGGCCUGUGGUCAAGAAGGCGGUUCAUGGAGUAGACAGGAAUCUGUUGUUUCUAUCCUUGCACUUGUCUGAUUAUGUUGCUUAUGGAUGUAGCAGUUGAUUGAGUUUGCAGCUCGUCUGUUAUUUGUUGUGGAGUCAGCAUUAUGGUUUGAGUUCUCAUUCUUUCAUCUUCCCGUCGUCAGUGGCAGUAGCCUCUAUUGCCACGGAUAUUUUGGCCAGAGAAAGUCUCUUUUUUGUUUUUGUUUUUAGGGGGGUGGGAGUGUCCGAGCAUAUGUGAUGAUGGGGGAUUUGCUUCAUUUAGGAUUUUGAUAUGUUAAUGUGCUAAAGCAAAAUAGAAAUGGUUAAACACCUAUAAUAUUCGGGAUUGAGCUGUUGUCAUAGUCAUUUUGCUAAGAUUUUGUUUUUCAACUUCAUUUUGAGAAUUUGCUCCUUCUUUCAGUGUGUAAUUA